Molecule: ribosomal RNA, 251 nt
Filed under: uncultured prokaryote
Description: partial 16S ribosomal RNA
Rfam family: Bacterial small subunit ribosomal RNA
Source: RNAcentral
ACGGAGGUUGCAAGCGUUGUUCGGAAUGACUGGGCGUAAAGGGAGCGCAGGCGGUUUGAUAAGUCUGGAGUGAAAGCCCGGGGCUCAACCCCGGCGGGUCUUUGGAUACUGUCAAGCUAGAGUACGGAAGAGGAGAGUGGGAUUCCAGGUGUAGCGGUGAAAUGCGUAGAUAUCUGGAGGAACACCGGUGGCGAAAGCGGCUCUCUGGACCGCACCUGACGCUCAGAUGCGAAAGCUAGGGUAGCAAACGG